RNAcentral lists this non-coding RNA (28 nucleotides) under Mus musculus (house mouse). Lineage: Eukaryota; Metazoa; Chordata; Mammalia; Rodentia; Muridae. The record is from RNAcentral.
UGAUACCAAGUGUUUAGGAAACAUGGAC